GGUUCCAUGGUGUAGUGGUUAGCACUCUGGACUUUGAAUCCAGUGACCUGGGUUCAACUCCUGGUGGGACUU
Molecule: transfer RNA, 72 nt
Filed under: Ipomoea nil (Japanese morning glory)
Lineage: Eukaryota; Viridiplantae; Streptophyta; Magnoliopsida; Solanales; Convolvulaceae
Rfam family: tRNA
About the family: Transfer RNA (tRNA) molecules are approximately 80 nucleotides in length. Their secondary structure includes four short double-helical elements and three loops (D, anti-codon, and T loops). Further hydrogen bonds mediate the characteristic L-shaped molecular structure. tRNAs have two regions of fundamental functional importance: the anti-codon, which is responsible for specific mRNA codon recognition, and the 3' end, to which the tRNAs corresponding amino acid is attached (by aminoacyl-tRNA synthetases). tRNAs cope with the degeneracy of the genetic code in two manners: having more than one tRNA (with a specific anti-codon) for a particular amino acid; and 'wobble' base-pairing, i.e. permitting non-standard base-pairing at the 3rd anti-codon position.
Source: Rfam by way of RNAcentral